CUGGCUCAGGACGAACGCUGGCGGCGUGCUUAACACAUGCAAGUCGAACGAGAGGACAAGAGAAGCUUGCUUCUUU
Molecule: ribosomal RNA, 76 nt
Filed under: Megasphaera cerevisiae DSM 20462
Lineage: Bacteria; Bacillati; Bacillota; Negativicutes; Veillonellales; Veillonellaceae
Description: 16S rRNA. Bacterial SSU
Source: RNAcentral